RNAcentral lists this ribosomal RNA (492 nucleotides) under uncultured bacterium. Its description in RNAcentral is "partial 16S ribosomal RNA". It matches the Rfam family "Bacterial small subunit ribosomal RNA", at positions 29 to 507 of the family's 1533-position model. The record is from RNAcentral.
AGUGAACGCUGGCGGUAGGCCUAACACAUGCAAGUCGAACGGCAGCACAGUAAGAGCUUGCUCUUACGGGUGGCGAGUGGCGGACGGGUGAGGAAUACAUCGGAAUCUACUUUUUCGUGGGGGAUAACGUAGGGAAACUUACGCUAAUACCGCAUACGACCUACGGGUGAAAGCAGGGGAUCUUCGGACCUUGCGCGUUUGAAUGAGCCGAUGUCGGAUUAGCUAGUUGGCGGGGUAAAGGCCCACCAAGGCGACGAUCCGUAGCUGGUCUGAGAGGAUGAUCAGCCACACUGGAACUGAGACACGGUCCAGAAGCCUCCGGGAGGCAGCAGUGGGGAAUAUUGGACAAUGGGCGCAAGCCUGAUCCAGCCAUACCGCGUGGGUGAAGAAGGCCUUCGGGUUGUAAAGCCCUUUUGUUGGGAAAGAAAAGCAGCAGGUUAAUACCCCGCUGUUCUGACGGUACCCAAAGAAUAAGCACCGGCUAACUUCGUG